GGAAUUUUGGACAAUGGAGGCAACCCUGAUCCAGCCAUUCCGCGUGAGUGAAGAAGGCCUUCGGGUUGUAAAGCUCUUUCGCAAGGGAAGAAAACUUAUGAUCGAAUAAAUCAUGAGGUUGACGGUACCUUGAUAAGAAGCACCGGCUAACUACGUGCCAGCAGCCGCGGUAAUACGUAGGGUGCGAGCGUUAAUCGGAAUUACUGGGCGUAAAGCGUGCGCAGGCGGUUAUAUAAGUCAGAUGUGAAAUCCCCGGGCUCAACCUGGGAACUGCAUUUGAGACUGUAUAGCUAGAGUACGGUAGAGGGGGAUGGAAUUCCGCGUGUAGCAGUGAAAUGCGUAGAUACCAUCAGGAACACCGAUAGCGAAGGCAUUGUACUGGCCAACAACUGACGCUGAGGCACGAAAGUGUGGGGAUCGAACAGGACUAGAUACCCUGGUAGUCCGCACCGUAAACGGUGGGCACUAGUUGUGGGAACCUUCCACGGUUUCUGCGACGCAGCUAACGCAUUAAGCGCCCCGCCUGGGGAGUACGAUCGCAAGAUUAAAACUCAAAGGAAUUGACGG
This 567-nucleotide ribosomal RNA is filed under the name uncultured bacterium. RNAcentral describes it as "bacterial SSU rRNA". It matches the Rfam family "Bacterial small subunit ribosomal RNA", at positions 358 to 916 of the family's 1533-position model. The record is from RNAcentral.